Molecule: ribosomal RNA, 406 nt
Filed under: uncultured bacterium
Lineage: Bacteria
Description: partial 16S ribosomal RNA
Rfam family: Bacterial small subunit ribosomal RNA
Source: RNAcentral
AUUGAACGCUGGCGGCAGGCCUAACACAUGCAAGUCGAACGAGUGGCGGACGGGUGUGUAAUGUCUGGGAAUCUGCCUGAUGGAGGGGGAUCACUACUGGAAACUGUAGCUAAUACCGCAUACCAUCGGAUGUCCCCAGAUGGGAUUAGCUAGUUGGUGGGGUAAAGGCUCACCUAUGCCCCGAUCUCUAACUGGUCUGAGAGGAUGACCAGCCAGACUGGAACUGAGACACGGUCCAGACUCCUACGGGAGGCAGCAGUGGGGAAUAUUGGACAAUGGGGGAAAGCCUGAUGCAGCCGUGCCGCGUGUAUGAAGAAGGCCUUCGGGUUGUAAAGUACUUUAAGCGGGGAGGCGUUACCCGCAGAAGAAGCACCGGCUAACUCCGUGACAGCAGGCGCGGUAAUUC